Molecule: long non-coding RNA, 758 nt
Organism: Bos indicus x Bos taurus (hybrid cattle)
Lineage: Eukaryota; Metazoa; Chordata; Mammalia; Artiodactyla; Bovidae
Source: Ensembl
CUUUCUCAUGAUGCUUAACCACUGUGGUUGCUGAGAAGUUAUCUGUCAGCUUGUAUAUCCUCAGAAAUUAACUCCAGCUCACAUACAUCCUGAUCAUUUCUCAACAAGAGUGUAGGAGUGUGCCCAGGCAGCUUUUGCCAUGUGUGGAUCAAACAUUUUCAAGAGUGUGACACAGGGAAAAGCCCAGACAUCGUUACACACUCGGCACUGUGAACUGCACCUUGUCUCCUUAAUGAGGCUCUAAACUUCUUCAGAGCAUCUGGUCAGAAGACUGAGGCUUGGAGAGAUUAUUUCUCCCCCACCUCCCUCAAGACCUCUUAGCUCCUUUGGAUAUACCCAAAUUCUUUAUACACAAAAGGGAAAGGUAGUUGUCACACCACUUUCCUCUCCAAUUCCCAUCCUUCAGAUCUCAUCAUGGGCUUUCAGUGCCAGGUACAAAGCAAGAUGGCAAUGCAAAUGGAGCUCCAGUGAAUUUUACCCCCGGCAUCUUUCUCAUCCUCAGGUCUAGACCCUCCGAAGUUUAAUACAGAAAGACACUGUGUGUUAACUCAAUCCUUGCUGUACCUUGAACAAACAUUUUUUCGAAAAAUAGUAAGGACAUUCAACAAGAUACAAAUUCCAAACUAAGUAUGAAGACAAUAAUUUCAAACUGGUAUGAAUUGAUUCAAGUGAUCAUCAAUUACAUUUUUGAGCUCUCAGUCUACUAUAAGAUAUAUUUAUUUAAUAAAUGCUGGUCAAGUUAAUUAGUUACUGACCCC